CUGGAGAAUACCCAGUGACAGCAUCACCUCACAGGGGAGAAAGGAAGCACAAGGCGCUGAGUGCAUCUUCCUGUUCCUCCUGGGGCAAAAGCAACCACAAAGCUACAAAGCACCAGAUGUCAAGGACAAAACAUAGGCUUUGCCCUUGCAGAGCUUAUUAUGCCCCCGUGAGCUGCAUCCUCAGCCCCCAGCCUGUGACAGUCACUAAGGAGACCUAGCUCUACAUGUUAGAAGGCAGGUCAAGAUCUAACAGCAGCUUUUUAAAGAUUU
Non-coding RNA from Peromyscus maniculatus bairdii (prairie deer mouse), 270 nucleotides. The record is from RefSeq and is a predicted model, not a curated record. Lineage: Eukaryota; Metazoa; Chordata; Mammalia; Rodentia; Cricetidae.